GACGAACGCUGGCGGCGUGCCUAAUACAUGCAAGUCGAGCGGAAUGAUGAAGAAGCUUGCUUCUUCUGAUUUUAGCGGCGGACGGGCGAGUAACACGUGGGCAACCUACCUUGUAGAUUGGGAUAACUCCGGGAAACCGGGGCUAAUACCGAAUAAUCCAUUUUGCUUCAUGGCGAGAUGUUAAAAGGCGGCUUCGGCUGUCACUACGAGAUGGGCCCGCGGCGCAUUAGCUAGUUGGUAGGGUAAUGGCCUACCAAGGCGACGAUGCGUAGCCGACCUGAGAGGGUGAUCGGCCACACUGGGACUGAGACACGGCCCAGACUCCUACGGGAGGCAGCAGUAGGGAAUCUUCCACAAUGGACGAAAGUCCGAUGGAGCAACGCCGCGUGAGUGAAGAAGGUUUUCGGAUCGUAAAACUCUGUUGUAAGGGAAGAACACGUACGAGAGUAACUGCUCGUACCUUGACGGUACCUUAUUAGAAAGCCACGGCUAACUACGUG
This 500-nucleotide ribosomal RNA is filed under the name uncultured bacterium. Its description in RNAcentral is "bacterial SSU rRNA". It matches the Rfam family "Bacterial small subunit ribosomal RNA", at positions 28 to 507 of the family's 1533-position model. The record is from RNAcentral.